RNAcentral lists this ribosomal RNA (1551 nucleotides) under Triticum aestivum (bread wheat). RNAcentral describes it as "partial small subunit ribosomal RNA". Lineage: Eukaryota; Viridiplantae; Streptophyta; Magnoliopsida; Poales; Poaceae. The record is from RNAcentral.
AUGGCUCUUCAGUAUCCUAUACUUUUCCCAUAUGGUGAUAAGAGUUACCAUCGUGGUAUUAAAUAUGUUGAUGUUAAUGAUUUCCCGGCCGUAACUGAUGCAAAUGUACAAGCUCAAGGACAUUUGGAUGGCGAGGAUGCCGACGAUGAUGUUGACUGUGAUUCCGAGCAUAUGGAUUCUUCACGUGGCCAGGUUACCAUGUCGGAUUAUUAUAAGUACUAUGCCCAUUAUCGCGAAGGCGAGGUUAAUCCUUAUACAAGUUGUGGCCGGCUAAGUCAACAGAUUGUUGUUAAUGCUUACUCCUGUAUAGAGGCUGAUCGUUUGGAAUAUCAUUUUCGUAAGCAAGACAAGGUUCGAUCUGAGACCUAUCAGGGCAUAUCUGACGCUAUGGGUGAAGGUAAUUCAACUGGCAAGAAUGUUGGUGUGCAGUUCAUACUGCAUGGUAGUUUUACGGGCGGUCCACGGUGGCAAGAGAUUGUCGAUGCUCUUGCUUCCGAACCUGGUCAAACUGCUGCUGAUCGGCCUGAUAUUACUACUCGUAUUUGUAUGUUGUGGAGUUUGAAAAAAGGGGGUUUGCCACAUACUCACACGUUGGUGUGGCUGAAGGCAGAUACCAAGGAUCCGUCUCCUUCUUUUAUAGAUGGCCUUAUUUCUGCAGAGCUGCCGGGCCCUUUGGUUGAUCCUUUGGGUUAUGCUCUUGUUGAUAAAUUUAUGGUACAUGGACCUUGUGGGGCAUAUAAUGCUAAGUGCGCUUGCAUGAAGAACAAUAGUUGUUCCAAGCGCUUUCCUAAGCCUCUAAGCGAUGAUACAAUGAUUGAUCAUGUUGGAUAUACAGUUUAUCGUCGACGUGACACUGGAUUGUAUGUCCUCAGGCAGAAAGACACGCUCCGUUUGGGAAAUCAAUGGGUUGUUCCAUACAACUUGAAUUUGUUGAAGAGGUUCGACGCUCAUAUAAAUGUGGAGUGGUGUAAUAAGACAAAAUUAUUGAAAUAUUUAUUCAAAUAUCUCACGAAGGGUCAUGAUGUAGUUCGCAUGCGUUUUCAUGCUGAAGACAUGCCUCCUGGUGUGUUCACUGUGCCAUGUCCUACCGGUAGAAAUGAAAUCGACGACUAUAUCAAAUGCAGGGACCUGUCUGCCUGUGAGGCCUUUUGGAGGUUGUUUGCGUAUAGUAUCCAUGGUAGUCAGCCUUCUGUCGAGCGUCUGGUUGUUCACUUACCUAACAUGAAUAGGGUCAUAUUUGCGGAGACUGAUAGUUUAGGAAAUGUUCUGGAGGAUUCUUCGUCAACUAAGACUAUGCUUACUGAGUGGUUUGCUACCAACCGGAAGCAUGUGUCUGCUAGGUCUUUAACAUACCUUGAUUUUCCGAGUGAGUGGGUUUGGAAUAAAAGUUCUAAAGUGUGGACGAAGCGGAAGCGCCCAGACAGCGACGAUCCCAUUAUCACAUAUACAGGCACACAUCCUCCCGUCGGACGUAUGCAAGAACUUGCAAAAUCACUUUAUCAUUACAUCACAGGCACCAAUCCUGCAGGAGGAUAUACUAGGAUGAUCUAA